RNAcentral lists this ribosomal RNA (741 nucleotides) under uncultured Glomerales. Its description in RNAcentral is "LSU rRNA". It matches the Rfam family "Eukaryotic large subunit ribosomal RNA", at positions 38 to 633 of the family's 3401-position model. The record is from RNAcentral. Lineage: Eukaryota; Fungi; Glomeromycota; Glomeromycetes; Glomerales; Glomeraceae.
GCAUAUCAAUAAGCGGAGGAAAAGAAAAUAACAAUGAUUCCCCUAGUAACUGCGAGUGAAGAGGGAUAAGCUCAAAUUUUAAAUCUGUUAGGUUUUACCUAACCGAAUUGUAAUUUGAAGAAGCGUUUUCGCGGGUGUUUGAUGGUCUAAGUCCUUUGGGAUGAGGUAUCAUGGAGGGUGAUAAUCCCGUACGGCCAUCAUUGCUUGUGUACGAUACGCUUUCAAAGAGUCAAGUUGUUUGGGAUUGCAGCUUAAAAUGGGAGGUAAAUUUCUCCUAAGGCUAAAUAUUGGCGAGAGACCGAUAGCGAACAAGUACCGUGAGGGAAAGAUGAAAAGCACUUUGAAAAGAGAGUUAAAUAGUACGUGAAAUUGUUGAAAGGGAAACGAUUGAAGCCAGUCGUACCGACGGAGAAUCAACCUUUGGAGUGCGAGUCGAGGUAUUCGAGGAGUUUAAAAGCCCUUGUGUGCUUCCGUAUCGUGCUUCUUGGGUGCUUUUCUUCGUAUGGUAGGUUAACAUCAAUUUUGGACGUUACAAAAUGACUGGGGGAAUGUAGCUUCGAUUUUUCGAAGUGUUAUAGCCCUUGGUAGAUGUGACGACCGGGAUUGAGGAUUGCAACGAAUGCUUUCGGGCUAUCCGUCUGACCUCUGGUGGUUGCUUUGGGGUCGAAAGCAUGCUUACGGCUUUAAAGUUGGCUAUCAAAAGGCUAGAACGUGAUUAAAUUCGUUAAGGAUGUUGACGUA